Molecule: ribosomal RNA, 317 nt
Filed under: Rhipicephalus sanguineus (brown dog tick)
Lineage: Eukaryota; Metazoa; Arthropoda; Arachnida; Ixodida; Ixodidae
Description: partial 12S ribosomal RNA
Source: RNAcentral
AGUAAAUAGAAAUUACGAAAGCAAAAAAUUAUGGCGGUAUUUUAAGCUUUUCAGAGGAAUUUGCUCUUUAAUGGAUAAAACACCUAAAUCUUACUUAAAUUUGUAAAUUCAAUUUGUAUACCACUAUAAAAACAAUUAAUAACUUCAAUUGUUAAAAUUUAUUAAAUUAAGUUAUAUUAAGUCAAGGUGCAGUAAAAAUUUAAGAAUGAAGUGAAUUACAUUUCUUUUUAGAGAGAGAAAUUUAAAUAACAUUUAGGAUUUGAAAGUAAAAUUGAAAUAGAAUGUCAAUUUGAAUUAAGCUCUAAAAUAUGUACAUA